This 944-nucleotide ribosomal RNA is filed under the name uncultured Neocallimastigales. RNAcentral's name for it is "partial large subunit ribosomal RNA". It matches the Rfam family "Eukaryotic large subunit ribosomal RNA", at positions 22 to 644 of the family's 3401-position model. The record is from RNAcentral. Lineage: Eukaryota; Fungi; Neocallimastigomycota; Neocallimastigomycetes; Neocallimastigales.
CUAUACAUGACUCUGCGCAUAUCAAUAAGCGGAGGAAAAGAAACUAACAAGGAUUCCCUUAGUAACGGCGAGUGAAGCGGGAAGAGCUCAAAUUUGAAAUCUUCAAGGUUCUACCUUGACGAAUUGUAGUUUAUAGAAGUGUUUUCUGUUAGUGGAGUGGCAAAAGUUCUUUGGAAUAGGACAUCAUAGAGGGUGAGAAUCCCGUAUUUGACCAUUAUUUUCAGCUGUGUGAUACACUUUCAAAGAGUCGGAUUGUUUGGGAAUGCAGUCCAAAAUGGGUGGUAAAUUUCAUCUAAAGCUAAAUAUUGGCGAGAGACCGAUAGCGAACAAGUACCGUGAGGGAAAGAUGAAAAAGAACUUUGAAAAGAGAGUUAAACAGUACGUGAAAUUGUCAAAAGGGAAGCGUUUGACACCAGUGUUGUUUUUCCGAAAAUCAAUUACGAAUGUUUUGUUUUUGAGGAGUUAUGACUUCAUCGGCUUGCUCCUUUCUUUAUGAAACUUUCUUAAUGCACUUUUCGGUUAACAAGUCAACAUCAAUUUCUUUUGUUGUAAAAGAGUCAUUGGAAGGUGGCUUUUUCUUCGGAAAAAAGUGUUUAUAGCCUUUGGCUUCUGCAAUCGGAGAGAUUGAGGUCUGCAGCGUAGAUCCUUCGGGGUUAGAUACGUUUGUGCUAAGUUAUAGCUUUUCAUAGACAACUUGUUGACUAUGCUUAGUCUUGUAGCUUACUCGCUUAUGCUAUUUUACCUACGCUUAGGAUGUUGAAGAUAUGCGCGACACGGCUCUAUACAUGACUCUGCGCAUAUCAAUAAGCGGAGGAAAAGUACUACCUACGCUUAGGAUGCUGACACACGCGCGUGCUCGACUCUAUACAUGACUCUGCGCAUAUCAAUAAGCGGAGGAAAAGCCAACUACCUACGCUUAGGAUGUUGAAGAUAUGCGCGACACG